AUUGAACGCUGGCGGCAUGCUUUACACAUGCAAGUCGAACGGUAACAGGCCUUCGGGCGCCGACGAGUGGCGAACGGGUGAGUAAUGCAUCGGAACGUGCCCAGUCGUGGGGGAUAACGCAGCGAAAGCUGUGCUAAUACCGCAUACGAUCUGCGGAUGAAAGCGGGGGACCUUCGGGCCUCGCGCGAUUGGAGCGGCCGAUGUCAGAUUAGGUAGUUGGUGGGGUAAAGGCCCACCAAGCCGACGAUCUGUAGCUGGUCUGAGAGGACGACCAGCCACACUGGGACUGAGACACGGCCCAGACUCCUACGGGAGGCAGCAGUGGGGAAUUUUGGACAAUGGGCGCAAGCCUGAUCCAGCAAUGCCGCGUGCAGGAAGAAGGCCUCCGGGUUGUAAAGCACUUUUGUUCGGGAAGAAAUCAUGUCGGUUAAUACCCGAUGUGGAUGACGGUACCGAAAGAAUAAGCACCGGCUAACUUCGUGCCAGCA
This 488-nucleotide ribosomal RNA is filed under the name uncultured bacterium. RNAcentral's name for it is "bacterial SSU rRNA". It matches the Rfam family "Bacterial small subunit ribosomal RNA", at positions 30 to 513 of the family's 1533-position model. The record is from RNAcentral.